This 179-nucleotide non-coding RNA is filed under the name Candidatus Woesearchaeota archaeon. Its description in RNAcentral is "6S RNA". It matches the Rfam family "6S / SsrS RNA". From Rfam's summary of the family: E. coli 6S RNA was the first non coding RNA to be sequenced, but its function was unknown until recently. It consists of 184 nucleotides that fold into an extended hairpin structure with a large single-stranded internal bulge. The record is from RNAcentral. Lineage: Archaea; Nanobdellati; Candidatus Woesearchaeota.
UAUUCCCUGCAGCGUGCGAAGUCCGCUGGGUUACUUCUUGAGCCUAAUUACAAACCCCGGGAGCUACUACACUCCGUUGUGUGCAUGCCCGAUCGGGAAGCCUGAUGCGGGGGCGUGGCACCCACCUGAACCAUCCGGUUCAAGGGCGAAAGCGGGCUACGCCGCAGGGCGGGGAAUAC